This 495-nucleotide ribosomal RNA is filed under the name uncultured bacterium. RNAcentral's name for it is "partial 16S ribosomal RNA". It matches the Rfam family "Bacterial small subunit ribosomal RNA", at positions 28 to 507 of the family's 1533-position model. The record is from RNAcentral.
GACGAACGCUGGCGGCGUGCCUAAUACAUGCAAGUAGAACGCUGAAGGAGGAGCUUGCUUCUCUGGAUGAGUUGCGAACGGGUGAGUAACGCGUAGGUAACCUGCCUGGUAGCGGGGGAUAACUAUUGGAAACGAUAGCUAAUACCGCAUAAUAGCAGUUGUUGCAUGAUAACUGUUUGAAAGGUGCAAUUGCACCACUACCAGAUGGACCUGCGUUGUAUUAGCUAGUUGGUGGGGUAACGGCUCACCAAGGCGACGAUACAUAGCCGACCUGAGAGGGGGCUCGGCCACCCUGGGACUGAGACACGGCCCAGACUCCUACGGGAGGCAGCAGUAGGGAAUCUUCGGCAAUGGACGGAAGUCUGACCGAGCAACGCCGCGUGAGUGAAGAAGGUUUUCGGAUCGUAAAGCUCUGUUGUAAGAGAAGAACGAGUGUGAGAGUGGAAAGUUCACACUGUGACGGUAUCUUACCAGAAAGGGACGGCUAACUACGUG